CGUACACUCCUACGGGAGGCAGCAGUGGGGAAUAUUGGACAAUGGGCGCAAGCCUGAUCCAGCCAUGCCGCGUGAGUGAUGAAGGCCCUAGGGUUGUAAAGCUCUUUCACCGGUGAAGAUAAUGACGGUAACCGGAGAAGAAGCCCCGGCUAACUUCGUGCCAGCAGCCGCGGUAAUACGAAGGGGGCUAGCGUUGUUCGGAUUUACUGGGCGUAAAGCGCACGUAGGCGGACUAUUAAGUCAGGGGUGAAAUCCCGGGGCUCAACCCCGGAACUGCCUUUGAUACUGGUAGUCUUGAGUUCGAGAGAGGUGAGUGGAAUUCCGAGUGUAGAGGUGAAAUUCGUAAAUAUUCGGAGGAACACCAGUGGCGAAGGCGGCUCACUGGCUCGAUACUGACGCUGAGGUGCGAAAGCGUGGGGAGCAAACAGGAUUAGAUACCCCAGUAGUCCCAUGA
This 454-nucleotide ribosomal RNA is filed under the name uncultured organism. RNAcentral's name for it is "partial 16S ribosomal RNA". It matches the Rfam family "Bacterial small subunit ribosomal RNA", at positions 330 to 800 of the family's 1533-position model. The record is from RNAcentral.